AAUUAUACCAUUCUGGAGGGUGGAAAAGAUGUUUCUAGGAAAGCCUCUUUGAACUGCCUCCAGUUUGUUAUAGAGUCGGAAGUUAUUUUAUUUAGCCAUAGUGUCACCUCCCCAGAUAGAGAUAAUAGAAACAAACACAGGUAGAUAGCAUUCUGACCCACUCCUGGAUUAUCAAAAGACUUGCAAAUAGUGACAAAAUUCACCAAAUGCAUG
Molecule: long non-coding RNA, 213 nt
Filed under: Capsicum annuum
Lineage: Eukaryota; Viridiplantae; Streptophyta; Magnoliopsida; Solanales; Solanaceae
Description: long non-coding RNA (CANN_LNC002762)
Source: RNAcentral